RNAcentral lists this ribosomal RNA (253 nucleotides) under uncultured bacterium. Its description in RNAcentral is "partial 16S ribosomal RNA". It matches the Rfam family "Bacterial small subunit ribosomal RNA", at positions 524 to 776 of the family's 1533-position model. The record is from RNAcentral.
UACGUAGGGUGCGAGCGUUAAUCGGAAUUACUGGGCGUAAAGCGUGCGCAGGCGGCUUUGUAAGCCAGAUGUGAAAUCCCCGGGCUCAACCUGGGAAUGGCAUUUGGGACUGCAAGGCUGGAGUGUGGCAGAGGAGACUGGAAUUCCUGGUGUAGCAGUGAAAUGCGUAGAUAUCAGGAGGAAUACCGAUGGCGAAGGCAGGUCUCUGGGCUGACACUGACGCUCAUGCACGAAAGCGUGGGGAGCAAACAGG